Molecule: ribosomal RNA, 253 nt
Filed under: uncultured bacterium
Lineage: Bacteria
Description: partial 16S ribosomal RNA
Rfam family: Bacterial small subunit ribosomal RNA
Source: RNAcentral
UACGUAGGGUGCAAGCGUUGUCCGGAAUUAUUGGGCGUAAAGAGCUCGUAGGCGGUCUGUCGCGUCUGCUGUGAAAACUCGGGGCUUAACCCCGGGCCUGCAGUGGGUACGGGCAGACUAGAGUGCGGUAGGGGAGACUGGAAUUCCUGGUGUAGCGGUGAAAUGCGCAGAUAUCGGGAAGAACACCCGUGGCGAAGGCGGCUCUCUGGGACGGUACUGACGCUGAGACGCGAAAGCGUGGGGAGCAAACAGG